Molecule: ribosomal RNA, 279 nt
Filed under: uncultured bacterium
Lineage: Bacteria
Description: partial 16S ribosomal RNA
Rfam family: Bacterial small subunit ribosomal RNA
Source: RNAcentral
UGCCAGCCGCCGCGGUAAUACGGAGGGUGCAAGCGUUAAUCGGAAUUACUGGGCGUAAAGGGCGCGUAGGUGGUUCUGUAAGUCGGGUGUGAAAGCCCCGGGCUUAACCCGGGAAUUGCAUUCGAUACUGCAGGGCUAGAGUAUGGUAGAGGAAAGCGGAAUUCCCGGUGUAGCGGUGAAAUCCGUAGAUAUUCGGAGGAACACCAGUGGCGAAGGCGGCUUUCUGGACCGAUACUGACGCUGAGACGCGAAAGCGUGGGGAGCAAACAGGAUUAGAUA